UACGGGGGGGGCAAGCGUUGUUCGGAAUUACUGGGCGUAAAGGGCUCGUAGGCGGCCAACUAAGUCGGAUGUGAAAUCCCCAGGCUCAACUUGGGAACUGCAUCCGAUACUGGAUGGCUUGAAUUCGGGAGAGGGAUGCAGAAUUCCAGGUGUAGCGGUGAAAUGCGUAGAUAUCUGGAGGAAUACCGGUGGCGAAGGCGGCAUCCUGGACCGACAUUGACGCUGAGGAGCGAAAGCCAGGGGAGCAAACGGG
This 253-nucleotide ribosomal RNA is filed under the name uncultured bacterium. RNAcentral describes it as "partial 16S ribosomal RNA". It matches the Rfam family "Bacterial small subunit ribosomal RNA", at positions 524 to 776 of the family's 1533-position model. The record is from RNAcentral.